RNAcentral lists this ribosomal RNA (382 nucleotides) under uncultured bacterium. Its description in RNAcentral is "bacterial SSU rRNA". It matches the Rfam family "Bacterial small subunit ribosomal RNA", at positions 27 to 408 of the family's 1533-position model. The record is from RNAcentral.
GGACGAACGCUGGCGGCGUGACUUAACACAUGCAAGUCGAGCGGUAAGGACCCGUUUCGGGGGUACACGAGCGGCGAACGGGUGAGUAACACGUGGGUGACCUGCCCUUAGCUCUGGGAUAAGCCUGGGAAACUGGGUCUAAUACCGGAUAUGACUCCAUGACGCAUGUUGUGGGGUGAAAGCCUUGUGCGGCUAGGGAUGGGCCCGCGGCCUAUCAGCUUGUUGGUGGGGUGAUGGCCUACCAAGGCGACGACGGGUAGCCGGCCUGAGAGGGCGACCGGCCACACUGGGACUGAGACACGGCCCAGACUCCUACGGGAGGCAGCAGUGGGGAAUCUUGCGCAAUGGGCGAAAGCCUGACGCAGCGACGCCGCGUGGGGAU